GCAAAGAUAGUUUAAACUAGAAUGUGAAGGUUGUGGUCCUUCGGGUGGGUAUAGAGGCCCUCAAUGCU
RNAcentral lists this transfer RNA (68 nucleotides) under Chamberlainia hainesiana. Its description in RNAcentral is "tRNA-His". Lineage: Eukaryota; Metazoa; Mollusca; Bivalvia; Unionida; Unionidae. The record is from RNAcentral.